Molecule: ribosomal RNA, 403 nt
Filed under: uncultured bacterium
Lineage: Bacteria
Description: partial 16S ribosomal RNA
Rfam family: Bacterial small subunit ribosomal RNA
Source: RNAcentral
AUUGCACGCUGGCGGCAGGCCUAACACAUGCAAGUCGAGCGAGCGGCGGACGGGUGAGUAAUGUAUGGGGACUGCCCGAUAGAGGGGGAUAACUACUGGAAACGGUAGCUAAUACCGCAUACUAUCGGAUAACCCAUAUGGGAUUAGCUCGUGGGUGAGGUAAUGGCUCACCUAGGCGACGAUCCCUAGCUGGUCUGAGAGGAUGAUCAGCCACACUGGGAAGGAAACACGGCCCAGACUCCUACGGAGGCAGCAGUGGGGAAUAUUGCACAAUGGGCGCAAGCCGAAGGCAGCCAUGCCGCGUGUAUGAAGAAGGCCCUAGGGUUGUAAAGUACUUUCAGUCGGGAGGCGUUACCGACAGAAGAAGCACCGGCUAACUCCGUGCCAGCAGCCGCGGUAAUAC